Long non-coding RNA from Labrus mixtus (cuckoo wrasse), 1894 nucleotides. RefSeq lists it as uncharacterized. NCBI's taxonomy places the organism in Eukaryota, Metazoa, Chordata, Actinopteri, Labriformes, Labridae. The transcript has 2 exons. The record is from RefSeq and is a predicted model, not a curated record.
UGUGACAUAAAUAUGCUAAUGUUAUGCAAACGAGCGGACACAGUUUACCCACAACAGCUGAAGGUGUUUGGAGCAGCAUGGUGAGAGGCUGUUGAAUGCGGCUCUGUGUUGCCAGGUGCUGCCGGGACAGAUUUUCCCGUGGUAGCGGCAUUCCUCCAACAUGUGUCCCCCCACGGCCUCCUCUGCGGCCGCCCCCUCUCCACCGACACUCCGCCGCCGCAUAUAUGAACCAUGUGGGCCCGAAAGCUGCAAACACAUGGCGGAGGCGACAUGCAAAGCAGAGGGGGGAAAGCCGGAUUAGGAUUAUGAAAAUAUGGAUUAUUAAAACCUCAAGCAUCGUAGCUGAAGCCCCUGCAGCCGGCCGGCCCUGCAGUGACUCGCAGCUCUCCAUGGCUGGUGGCCAGAGCCGACUGGGACAGCUUCCAGCCUCAGACGCUCUGUGAUUAACCCAGGAGCGGUCAAACUCUGCAGGACGCCCUCCACAACCAGCCGCUGCUAUUUAUCCACUUUCCAAUGAAACCAAUUACUUUUAGAGCUGGCCUCGGCGCCGACACUAUAUGUGUUGUUCGUGCAGACCAAUAGAGUAUGGGUGUGAAAGGAGAGGCAGACGUGAAGUAGGAAACCCUCCUGAGCUGCUUCAACAGGCUGUAAAAUAUACCUACAGUCAGUUUCCAUGGAGAGAGGGAGAGAGAGAGAGAGAAAGAGAGAGAGAGAGAGAGAGAGAGAGAGAGAGAGAGAGAGAGAGAGAGGCUUUAAUCACAAUCUAAGCGUUUUAAUAAUGACAUGAUUAUUUUUAUCAUCUGAUAGAAAAGCAGCAUUUCGGAUUUUCUGUUGCCAAUGAUACAUUAAAAAAGGAAGUAAUUCCAGUUUAAUUAUUUUUUUUGUACAUUGUGAGUGUAGAGCUUUAACAUCAGCCCCUCUAAACCAGAAGUUAGAAGAUAGGGUUAUUAUUAGUUAAAGUAUUGGUUUUUUUUUCUGAUGCAUGUUACUGUCUGCAUUACCUGUUGUGUCACAGUGUUUAUGCACACAAAACAAAACAAAACAUGAUUAAGGUGUACAAAUCUGAAAAGGAGUGGAGAGAAGAACAUACUUAUAUAUUGAUUUGAUAUAAUUGAUUUAGUCUUUAAAGAUUCAUUAUCCAGCUUCACUGUGAUGACUUUUCGAAGACCUCUUCUGAUAUAUCAUACCAUGUAUCUUUGUCACACAGAAGACAUUUUUUUAAUUCAAUCAGAAUUUUGUUUCCUCACUAUCUGAGUAUAAUACCUGUAGGUGAACACAUUGGACUGUCCAGCUGAUUUAAACGUUAGAAAGCUUCAUUUAUUUAUUUAUAAAGCCUUGAUUGGCAACAUGCCACCAAAUAUUACCUCCUUAUUAAAUGUGUCUCAGACCCUCUAUGUUCUGGUAAUUGGUGGAUGCUCUAUGAUGCCGAGGUCAGACAUUAUAACCAUGCCUUUAGUCCGACCAGGCAGACGUAGGUCUUCUGGACCUGUCAACCCCUAAAACUGAUCGUUUAAUCUUGUGUAGUGUGUCACAGUGAGCAACCAUCAAUUCUACAUAUCACACCACGAAGUAGGACUGAUUUCUGUUGAAUAUCUGCACAGUUACUAAAAGCUCAAACUUUGAAAAGUUGAACUUUGCGCCCUCUGUGGACAAAGCGAUCAUCCUCCUUUGUCCCUGUUCUCCUGUUCACUCAUUGACUGUGUUUUCUGACAAAAAUCUAACAUGAUUUUAAACAGUUAAAGGUAUAACUCAUUGUAAAGAUAUGCUGAAACAGAUGUAAAAUAAAAAAAAGUCAUAGUGCCAGUCUUGCUGCUGAUCAUCUGGUUUGCAUUAGAAGAAUUAGUGUUAAUUUCUGUUGCUUUCAUAAUGUUAUUAAAACUCCUCAAUGUGUGUA